Long non-coding RNA from Carassius auratus (goldfish), 428 nucleotides. RefSeq lists it as uncharacterized. The transcript is spliced from 3 exons. The record is from RefSeq and is a predicted model, not a curated record. NCBI's taxonomy places the organism in Eukaryota, Metazoa, Chordata, Actinopteri, Cypriniformes, Cyprinidae.
GUGUCUAAACAAGAUGUAAGAGUGGAGCAGAAAGUAUCAGUAAAACUGUUAGCAUUUAAAGAUGCAAACUGUUUAGGGGAAGGAAGUGAAUAUGAAACCAUUGCGGAUAGCCGGGAGGGUGAAAGUGUGCGUAGGUUACGUCGAAAGAUGACAUGUGGAGGGUGAAUGUGUGAAAGGGAUGGAUGCACCUGCUGAAGCUCGGGAAACAGAGGCACUAUCAGACCAGCAGCCCGGACCAGAGCCAGCCCAGAGCCUAAACAACACUGCCUUUCAACAACACCAAAACUUCCGCGAUCCUGGACUGAACCACUUCAUCUCCGAGCGGGGAGUCCUUCCAGCACCAAAUUCACUUAAUAUGACUUUAAAAAUACAACAUGCACGGUUAUUUCACGGGAAUCCUGGUAAAGAUGAACUGAAAUAAAGUUAAU